Non-coding RNA from Cinara cedri, 71 nucleotides. Lineage: Eukaryota; Metazoa; Arthropoda; Insecta; Hemiptera; Aphididae. The record is from the annotation of a GenBank genome assembly.
UUUGUUUUAUUGGGGGACAUGGUAAGAGCCUGCACGUGGCGUCCCCUGCAUCGCGAUAUACGACUCCAGAC